Molecule: RNA transcript, 3193 nt
Organism: Xenopus laevis (African clawed frog)
Lineage: Eukaryota; Metazoa; Chordata; Amphibia; Anura; Pipidae
Gene name: translocation protein SEC62-like
Exons: 8
Source: RefSeq, a predicted model, not a curated record
UAAGUUGUUAGCGAAAGUGAAUCUAAACUUGAACACUGUACGUGCCUGCGUCCGGCCUGCUCGUGACCGCGCUUCCUGGACCCGCCUCCUGCCACGUCACCAGACAGGCCGGGAUAGACAUGGCGGAACGGAGGAGACACAAGAAGCGGAUCCAGGAGGUGGGCGAGCCAACCAAUGAUGAGAAGGCAAUAGCCAAGUACUUGCGCUUCAAUUGUCCUUCCAAAUCAACUAAUAUGAUGGGCCACAGAGUUGACUACUUCAUUGCUUCCAAGGCGGUGGAUUGUCUUUUUGGAUUCAAAAAUGGGCUAAAGCCAAGAAAGAGAAGAAGCUCUUUUUACUAAUAGAGGAGUCAGUAGUUGAGUUCUGCAAUAGACUUUUGAAGAAACAGUUUUUCCACCGAGCACUGAAAGUGAUGAAGACAAAGCCAGAGAAAGAGGUAAAAAAGGAAAAGGAGAAAGAUAAAGGAAAGACCGAUAGUGGAAAGGAAGAUGAGAAAAAGAGCAAGAAAGAUGCUCCCAAAGAGGAGAAAUCAAAAAAGGAAAAGAAAAAAGAACCCGAAAAAGAGGAAGUAAAGAAGGAUGAAACUCCUGGAACACCAAAGAAAAAGGAGACCAAGCGAAAGUUUUAAGCUAGAACCACAUGAGGAUCAGGUUUUCCUUGAUGGAAAUGAGGUAUAUGUGUGGAUAUAUGACCCAGUCCAUUUUAAAACAUUUGCUAUGGGCCUCAUCCUUGUUAUUGCAGUUAUAGCUGCGACCCUCUUUCCUCUGUGGCCUGCUGAGAUGCGUGUUGGGGUUUACUACCUCAGUGUUGGAGCAGGAUGUUUUGUCGCCAGUAUUCUACUUCUUGCUGUUGCAAGGUGCAUUCUCUUCCUUAUCAUUUGGCUCUUGACUGGAGGAAGACAUCACUUCUGGUUCCUGCCUAACUUGACAGCAGAUGUUGGUUUCAUUGAUUCCUUCCGACCAGUUUAUACACACGAAUACAAAGGACCAAAACCUGACCAGAAGAAAGAGGAAACGUGUGAAGAGAAAAAGCCACUAAAAGCAGACAGUGAGGAUAAAUCAGACAGUGAAAAGAAAGAAGAAGAGGACAGAAAGGCUGAAGCAGCGGAGGGAUCAGGGAGCGAAGUCUCUGGUGCAGAAAGGCAGUCAGACACAGAUAGUGACAGGCGGGAAGAUGAAGGCUCACAGCAUAGUAGUGGCAAUGGAAAUGAUUUGAAAUGAUCACAAAGGAGGAACUUGAGCAGCAAACUGAUGAAGGAGACUGCGAGGAGGAGGAAGAGAAUGUUAAAGAGGAAGAAGGCACAGUUGAGAGUAGGCCUCUAUGUGGAAAAUCUUAAGACUUGGCUGGUGUUUGUGACUGAUUAUAUGCUUGGAUGGAUAUUUCCUUAGAGUGAUCACCAAACAUCACAUAGUUUCCUUCACUCUUCUUUACGAUAUGCAGAUUCUGUAGGGAUCAUAAAAUAUGUUAAGUUAAUUUCCAGAAAAUAAUUUUUAUUGGAGGAAAAUCAAAUCCUUUUUCAGUGAAACAAAAUGCAAGUCGUGACAGUACGUGCUGGCCUUUAACCUUCACUUGUUCUAUCACGUUCCUGUGUAGCAGAAUGUGAUCCAUGUGUAAUAUUGCAACUGUUGGGGUUCAGCUAUCUGCAUGCAGCACACACUUAUUGCUGCUUGUUAGGUGCACCCCAUAUAGAUGGUCUGGUCAUUUCAAGAAGCUUUGAGUGUAACAUCAGCAUCCAGAUGUAGCAUAAUAAUUUAUGCAAAAUUAACUCUAUGAAGAAAUGUUUUAAAUCCGUGGAUAAGUGCUGGGAGUUGUAAUAAAACAGCAGUCAGCAUUGCAUCUUUCAGCAACCCCCACUAGACUUUUCCACCAGUAAGGCUGGCACCCCUGUCGGAGAAUUCCCGCAUCAUUUAGAGCCAAAUAAGAAUGAAUCUGAUCUAUACCGUUAAGUCCUUAUAGUGUUUGAUUCUGCUGAUCACUAGGUUACGUACAGUUCAUAUAUCUAUCAAUUAUAUAUAUAUUUAGUGAAGAAAUUUUAUUUUAUAAAAACUUUAAUGACAUCCCUUCUAUCGGUUAACGUUUGAACAGAGCGCGUUAGUCGGUUGCAGCGCUGUAAAAGUACGGCAUAGUUUUUGAUGGUAUUUUGGUACUACCAUCCCCAUUUUAAACUCUUUAGUGUAAACUGAAUAAAAUGAACACACACACACACAGUAAGCCCCUAUACCGAGAAUUCUUGAGGUUGAUUCCCAGCACCAGUUCCCUAUAUGUAGUGAUAAAUAUAAUGAAUGUCUUUUGCCUAAAAAUCACCUCCACCUCCUAUGGUUGUUUUAAAGUGCUCCUUCUGCAUCUAAUUCCUGAUCAUAAAUAACACCAGAUUAGUAUAUGUAGCUGUUAUUUGUAUAAUUGAAUGUCACCUGAUGGGCCAAGAUUUGAAGAAAAGAUGGUGGCUAAGAGGCAUACUAAUGCAUAGUAGAUAAGAGACGAAGUGAAAAUUACUUGUUUUUAUUACUCAGCGCACCUUUAUGGCAUAGUGUACAUUUUUUUUGUCCUGCAGAAAUAUAGUUUACAAAUAAAUAUCCAAGUUAUUUCGUCUGACUUGAAAUGGAUAUACUGGUGGUCAUUGCGAAAGUGUGUUGAAUUAGAGGAAAUAUUGAACCUGGCACGUGUUUAUAGUAAAUGUUUAUAUAUACUUAUAUGAGCUCUAGGCCCCAGUUAGAUACAGAGGCUUAUAUAUCCCUAGGAAUCGGGGAACUUGGGAAGCUGCUAGAACCUUACCAUUGCCUUAGCAUAAGCAAACGAAAUCCAAAUGAUAAUAGAUCAGUGUUCAAUGUUGAGGUGCAAAUACCCUCAGUUCUGUGAGUACACAGCAAGACUGUAAAGGAAAGAGUUGGAGCUGUAGUUCUGUGGAGACGGGUUCCCUCUAUAGACAAAUGUAACUGUUUUCUAAAUUAUUUACGUAUUUUAAUUGUAUAAUUCACCUUCUAAGAUGAUUAAUGCCUGCAGGACACUGUCCCAUUGAAUGCUUCAAUUUCUAUCAGAACUUUGAAUAGAGGUUAUUACAGGUCUUUAGUCAUAAGAAAGCCCUGGGUUGUAUACGGGGAGUCUUUCUGUGGGAUGUAGUUGUUUCCAGGCUUCAGUUUUGUGCCAACAUUCCAUGUAUGUAAGUAUAAAUAAAACAAUGCUUAUUAAAAGUAAA